This 253-nucleotide ribosomal RNA is filed under the name uncultured bacterium. Its description in RNAcentral is "partial 16S ribosomal RNA". It matches the Rfam family "Bacterial small subunit ribosomal RNA", at positions 524 to 776 of the family's 1533-position model. The record is from RNAcentral.
UACGAAGGGGGCUAGCGUUGCUCGGAAUUACUGGGCGUAAAGCGCACGUAGGCGGCUUUCUAAGUCGGGGGUGAAAUCCUGGAGCUCAACUCCAGAACUGCCUUUGAUACUGAGAAGCUUGAGUUCGGGAGAGGUGAGUGGAACUGCGAGUGUAGAGGUGAAAUUCGUAGAUAUUCGCAAGAACACCAGUGGCGAAGGCGGCUCACUGGCCCGGUACUGACGCUGAGGUGCGAAAGCGUGGGGAGCAAACAGG